CCCGUUCCGUGACUUCCUCGAGAUGAAGGGCUGCAGAGUGCGGCCUGCAGACCUGCCUGUUUUGUAAACAAAGUUUUACUGCAACAACCAUGACCAUUUGUUCAGUGUCCGUAGCAUUCAACAGAUUUGAGUAUUUGCAACAGAUACUCUAUGUCCUAAAAAACCUAAAAUAUGUACUGUCUGGCCCUUUACAGGAAAAAGUUUACCCACUCCUACUCUAGGUCCAUAAUGCCAACUUGAGAUGAAAUUUCAGAUGUCCAGUGUCUUUCUGGGUACAGAUCAGUGAUCCUUCUCUGACUAGGUACACUAGAACUUACCUCUUUUUAGAAAGAUGUUGUUAUAAGUGUUAUCGCAUCCGGCUCCUUUAUGGGCCCCAAUUCCCAUGGCAGUGGGUCUAGGAAACUACGUACGACAUGUAUCACCCGGGCUGACCUUAGUCUUAUUUCUGACAGUUCUGAGAUAAAUAGAUGGUAUAUAUACGUCAUCAGUCGAUGAUAGAUGACAUCAGCAGAUGAUAGAAAAUUUAUAUCUAAGAGCUGUUUCAUUAUCAGCAAUUUUAAGCAAAUCUCAGUCUUACUCCAGACACCUCCUAACGUGUUCUGCUAUAGUAAGACCUCAUUUUAUUCCAAUAUUUUGACAUUCUACCGUCUAGAGCUUUCAUGCUUCAGGCAGGGUGGAAGAUGAAAAAUCGUUACACCCUAAGCCCGUGGUAGGUGUUAACUGUUGCUGACAUGAGUUCACAGGGUACAGAUGUCUCUGGACAGAAACCCUGGGUGGGGGAAGUCUCAGCAACUGAUGACUCGGGCUUCGUGUAAUCCCAUAUGGAUGAGCCAGGAAGUGGAACGGUUAUCAAAAGGGGAGGAUGGAUAAGCCUGCAGCAUAAUCAAAUGGAAAAGCUCAACUGAGGAGGAAACCGGCAAACCGGUGGUUGAGAGAAAGAUGACGGAUGACAGAUGGGAGGGCUCAUCAGUCUAGAGGAUGCCCAAGUCCUUAGAAGUUAUUCAGGAACUUGUGUGUUCUGUCUGCGUCGCUGCUCAUGGGAAGAUGGGUGAGAUUGUCAGCUUUCAUUGAGGACGAGGAGUCUUGCUUGUGAGACACAGACCAGCAGGAGCUGGGAUUAGAACAAGGCUGGGAGGAAGGGAGAGAAAAGGAAGACAGAAAGUGACUCUCGGCAUCCCUAACAUCCGUCGCCCACUCUGGCAUCGUGGAAAACUUGUUCUGAGUAGAAAGAACUUGAUCUGGAUCCAGGGUGGACCAUCUUCUCUCCAUGAGGCAUCUCCAGACACCUGCUCCAUCCACUUCCAGCAGUUCCUCCCUGACCGUCUCCCCCAUACGCAGCAGGUCUCCUGCUGCCUGAGACUCACAUCACCUUGCCCCACCCCCGCCCUCUGCUGCCUCCCCACCCCCUGCCCUGUCCUUACCCGUGGGAACCACCAAGCUCCGAGCGUGGACUGAGCUACCACCUUCUGUGGGAGGCACUUCCCUACAGCUGGGUGAGGCUGGGAUGGAGUAGAGAAGUGAAGAGCAGCCCUGGGCACGAGGGGACGUUCACCCCCGACAGCGGAAGGACUGAACAGAAUCUACCGGGAGUGGCCGUGAAAGGACACACGGCGAACAGUGGAAGACAGACCAGGAAAGGCGCACAGCAGGUGCCGUGGGGUUCAGAAAGGCCAGGGAGCAGGCGACUCCCUGGGGCCUCCUGGGGAGGCAGUGUCAGCGUGGCCCUGAAGGAUGGGCAGGAAUGAGCCCAGCCGGUCCAGGCAGAUGAAAAGCGCAAAGAAAGGUGUGGCCGUGAAAACAGACCUAGAACCAACACCAGCAAAUGGUUCCAUUUUUCAGCAAUGUUGGAUAUGUCCCCUGGGACUGGGUGGCAGGACAAGCCUCCUCACGCAUCUUUUUCUCAUCACAUCUCAUUUCCUUUAGCAAAUGCACAUGAUGUCUUAUUUAAAUGCAAUUCUCUGAAAACUUACUAACUGGAGUGUCAGUCUAACAACAUCCUCUGCUGUAGUUGAUGAAUACAGAAAGAAGCACUUUUGAGAGAGGAAAAUGAUGUUCAUUGUUUUUUCUUUUCUGAAAUCUGCAGAUACUAAGAGGCAACCUGUCCGGAAAAGCCAGUAUCCACUCUCUACUGGAGGGGGUGGAGGAAGCUGGGGGGCAGGGAGUAAGGGUUCCCCCAUAACACGCACUUGUCGGUGAUGAGAGCCACGGUCCCAGCCUUCAGAUCCGGUUCUGCCCUCAGCGCCUUCUCGCCUCCCCGCAGCCCUGUAGCCCCUCCCCCGCUUCACUGGGGCAGUUACUGCUGGGCCACGUCCACAGCCAGAGAGAUGUCUCAUCACUCGGUCAGGCUUGCAGCGCCCCUCAGCCCUGACCCCUGCAACAGCUUCCUACCAGGACGUAUUGGAGCGGCCUUGGAGUCCGAGAAGCAGGCGAGGGAGGAGGGAGGGGGACUUCAAAGGGCCCUCCUUCGCUGGGUCUGGCCCGGAGCUGCACAAUUGGCCCCUGGGGAAGGAGGGAAGGGGCGCUGUGCCCCAUCCUUGAGCACCCAUGAAAAGCCCAGCUCUGGGUUCUGAACUGAACUCGGUAAACCGAGGGAGAGAUGAGUCCUUUGCUGAGAUCUCCCCAGAGCCUCUACCUGGUGACCUUACUGUAAGGACUCCAUAAAUAUUUGUGGAAAGAAAAGGUUCUAAUACAGAGAUGAUGGUUUAAGGUUAUUUCUUCCAAAAGAAAAUGCCAAGGAAGCUUGCUAGUCCCACAGGUUAUUCCUCAGGAAAAAAAGCAGCUGAGGUGGGGAGCUCCAAAAAAAAGUCUAUUAAAAAGGGUGGGGGAUCAAAUAAUUUGGGAAAACAAGACAUUCUAAAGUCACCUUGUGGAGAUUCACAAUGCAUAUUGAUACUUUAAAGGCUCUGAAAAGUCCUGUAAUGAAGAAUCCUGUUUAACUGUGUUUCAACCAGCAAUAGCUAAACAUGCUUGAAGAGGAGCACCCGUCUUCCCUCUUUCCUCUCCCUCUCCCCUCCCUCCCUCCCUUAUCCCCCUGCUGUCUCUGAGCAUCCCAUGGAGGGCUAGAGUCAGCAGUCACCUGACAUGCACAGGGACCUGCUGGGUAUAGGAUGUCACUCCAAGAGGACAAAGCAAUGACUCCACACUCCCAACAGGAUUUCUGGGACACUCGGCGCCAAGGGACCAUGGGUGACCCAGGGGUCUGAGCCUUGCAGUAAGCUAGCCCCUGAACCACGGAGAUGACUCCUUCCCAGAACAAGCCUCAGGGCUCUCCCUGAACAGAUCUGCUCUGCUCUGAUCUGACCUCAGUUGAAGCAAAAGGAUUUAACGUCUUUUCCCAGAGAGAAACUAACUCUUUUAUAUACGUGAAGCUGGGAUUUAGAUCAUCAAACAGUUUCCUCCAGGUCUAGAAGUUUCAUGGGGAGGAAAAAAACAAAAACACUUAAACCAAAAAACAAACCGAAGAAAAAUGACCCCAAGAACACAACACCUUUAAUGCAAUUUCUUAGCCCUUUCGAGUUUCUGAAUAAUUCAUGCCACCACAGCUUUCUUUCCGUUUCGUUUCUCAGGUCCCCAGGGUGGGAAGCCAGCCUUGCCACAGUCCCUUCCAAGCCGCAUCCUGCCUCUGCUUGCACACCUCCCGUGACAGGGCACUCACUACUUUCCAGGCUGUCCCUUGUAUUUCUCGUAGGUCCCACCACCAGAAUGGGCUUUAGGUGACGGCAAGAUGACUCCAGAGGCCCCCUCACAUGGCCGCAGCAGUGCAGUGUAGUGGGCGAGAACCUGGACCCUGAACCAAACCGCCUGGUCAGAAUCCCAGCUCCAUCGCUCACGAGCUGUAUGCAACAGGCAUCAAGCUAUGCCUCUCUCAGCCUCAGUUUAGUCGCCUGCCAAAUGGGGAUCACACAUUAUACUUAACCACUCAGGGUUGUUGAGGGGAUAAAAUAAGUGAUGUAAAGCUCAUACAACAUGGUUUGGCACCUGGGAUGAAUCUCUGACGUGAUUUUUUUCUGAAUUGUGAUGACUUGGGGGCACCUACCUGCCCUGUCUCUUCCUGGGAUUCUCUGUCCAGCACAUACAGGUCUGUGAAUCCAGCCUGGGCACCAGGCACCUGGACUCCUGACUCAGACUCACACCCAGGCGGCCAGCUCCCCAAGGCGUAGGCAGGGCACCAGGAGCACCAGGCCAGGAAAGAGCUGGACAACGGAUGCUGCCCUGCCCACAAUCAGUUCUUAUGCCCAAAGCCCAGGUCCCCAAUCCAAACAACCCCCUUCUGAUUCAUGGCCUCUCAGGCGCCCUGUUCUCAUUUCCUGCCCACAUUUAGGCUCUUCUAGCUCUGAACCCCAGUGAGAGGGCUGUGAUCUCAUUGCCUUCUCCUCUCCUGGGACCCUGUGUAAAUUUGUAGCUGCCAAUAGUGGGGAGCCUCUCCCCUUAUCUGCUUCCAAUCCUCAGGGCCUGGUGAAGGAACAGUAUCCUUGCAAUGCUCUCCAGGACCCCUGGACCCACUUUGUCCAGCAACAAAGAGAGUCCAUCCCCAAGGUGAAUUAUGGAGUCUCCAGCCACUUCUAGAAACAGAACCAGCUCACAACGUCAAGGACACAGCGGCAGAUUAAAAGAGCAAAAAGACAAAGGAAAACAUUCAAGUUCCAUUGCUACUGGACUCUGCCCACUCAAAUUUUUGGGCCAAACUCGAUUCCCCCAAGAUUCCAGCCAUUCAUGCCUCAGCCUGCUGGGCUAGGAAUAUGCAUGGGAUUGCUUUCUGAGGGGUGAGGGGCUCUGGCUUUUCACAGAGUAACAGUGAUGCCUGGUGAGUUUCAGGGCUGCAGCCCAGCCUCUGAGCUCCCAGACCUUCAGGCCAUGAUCAAACCCAAAUCCACCCAGAAAGAGCCCCAUGGACACACACGUCAGCCUCUGCCAAGGGUGAGGGUGCUGGAACACCUGCUGGAGGCUGCUGGGAGUUGCUGGCCUCCCUGUAGGGGCUUGAAUGUUGUCCCGCCUGCAAUUCAUGUCCACCUGGAACCUCCGAAUGUGACCUUAUUUGAAAAUAGGGUCUUUGCAGAUAUAAUUAGUCAAGACCUUGAGAUGAUAUCAUCAAACAAUGACGGUGUCUUUCUAGGAAGAGGAGAGGACACACAGAGGGAAGAGGGCCAUGUGAAGACAGACGUGGGGAUCGGAGUGACGUAGCUGCCAGCCAUGGACGCUGAGGCUCUCUGGAAGCACAGAAGCUGGGAAGCAGAAGGGAGGAUUCUUCCCUGGAACCUGAAGAAAAAGCAUGGCCUUACCAACACUGAUUUCAGACAUCUGGCUUCCAGAACCUCAAGAGAACAAAUUUCUGUUGUUUCAAGCCACCAAGUUUGUGGUCAUUUGUUACGACAGUCCUGGCAAACUAAGACACCUGCACUGAGCAAAAAGGAGGACACGGAAUUCCUCAGGGACUUCAAGUUGUAGGGCUGACGUCCCCCUGCUUCACCCAGAACCGUAAGAAUUCUGACUCCAUUCCCCCAUUCUUUUCUGGCUGGGCUGGAGGAGGCCUUCAGCCUGCAUUUGUUUUACUGAAUCUGCUUUGUCAGGGAAGAACCCACUUUUCCAGAAAGAAAGGAAUGGUUUGCAGUUGCACUUCUGGACCUAGAAAUUUCAUUGUCAACCAGACUGACAUAACCAGGCUCCCUGCUUUCUGUUCCCGACUGCCUCUUUUCAGCAGCCCUCAUGAUGCUUUGCUGGCAUUUCUUUCCACUGCCCUCUGCUGAUCAGGCAGAACCAUGGACAACAGCAAUUCCAGAACCCACAGCCCAGGGAAGUCCCACUUGGUAGUCAAAGCCAUCCAGACCCAUGAUUCUGGCUUGGGGAAGAUUCCAGAGUUGGGGAUUCUCUGUGGUUUUAACUUUCCAGGCUUCUGAAACCAAGAAUACCUUUAGUCAAUUUAUCCCAAUAUGUGUUCCUCAGAACUGUAAUGUCCUGCAAAAUAUUAGUAAAAAUUUUUAAACAUCAUAGUCAAAUAAGUUUGCGAACUGCCAAAAUAAAUAUAGUUAAACAAA
Balaenoptera acutorostrata (minke whale) is the source of this 6032-nucleotide long non-coding RNA. RefSeq lists it as uncharacterized. NCBI's taxonomy places the organism in Eukaryota, Metazoa, Chordata, Mammalia, Artiodactyla, Balaenopteridae. The transcript is spliced from 2 exons. The record is from RefSeq and is a predicted model, not a curated record.